UACGGGGGAUGCAAGUGUUAUCCGGAAUUAUUGGGCGUAAAGCGUCUGUAGGUGGUUUUAUAAGUCUACUGUUAAAGGUCGAAGCUUAACUUCGGAAAAGCAGUAGAAACUAUAAAUCUAGAGUAUUAUCGAAGUAGAAGGAAUUUCCAGUGGAGUGGUGAAAUGCGUAGAUAUUGGAAGGAACACCGAUAGCGAAGGCAUUCUAUUAGAUAGUUCUGACACUCAGAGACGAAAGCUAGGGUAGCAAAUGGGAUUAGAUACCCCAGUAGUCCUAGCUGUAAACUAUGGAUACUAUACAAUAACAUUUGCUGUGUUGUUAAAGCUAACGCGUAAGUAUCCCGCCUGGGGAGUAUGCUCGCAAGGGUG
This 366-nucleotide ribosomal RNA is filed under the name uncultured phototrophic eukaryote. RNAcentral describes it as "SSU rRNA". It matches the Rfam family "Bacterial small subunit ribosomal RNA", at positions 524 to 896 of the family's 1533-position model. The record is from RNAcentral.